CUCCUGUGUUUUGGUUCUGUGAUCUGUGAUCCUGAAAGGUUCAGCUCAGUCUCCAUCCACAGCCACUAGAGGGCAGGAGAGUCACACACACGGAGCAUGGCCUGGCUGGUGCUGCCACAGUGAGGCUGGCUAAAAUGGGCUUUCCUUCCGACCAGAGUCUCUGAAACUACGUACUUCAGUGCAGCUACAGGAAGGACGGUUCUGGGAGCCUUCAACACGGAUACAGAGAUACAGAUGGGACCCAGAUGAGGCUUAUAAAAGCCUCAUGUCAGGAGCUGGAGAGAAGGCUUAGCACAAGAGCGCUUCCAGCUCUUAUAGAGGACCAAGCUGGGUUCUCAGCAUCCAUGUCAGGUGGCACACAACCAUCUGUAACUCCAGCUCCAGCGGAUCUACUCACCUCUUCAGGCACACAAGUAUCCAAGAAAGCAGGAAGCAUGGUGUGACCAAUGUCGGGCUCUGUCUGUAUGACCUUCACCAUUUUCCAGAGGGACGAAGUGUGAAAAUGGAAACCCUGGAAAGCAGUGUCCCCAUGUUCAUGAUAGGAAAACUCCUGUUCUUAAAGUUGAGUUGAAAGCACUCAGGAAAUGAAGCCUUUGAAUCAACAUCGGGGAAGAGUAGCACCUUUGGCAGUGCUCAGGGGACUCUGGGGAGACUCCACUUUGGCUUGUGUGGCUCCCGUUCACACUUGAGCUGCUGAUGAGCCUCGGGUAUCAAACCUUUGCCAUCGUGACAAGCUCACAGCUGCAAGGUUGAGUGAACCUGGAUCCAGUCCCUAGUCUAGAGGCUUAGGACUGCACUUGUUUUGCCAAUGUGAUAAGUAUCCAUGGAAGUCUAACUGUUUUAAAUGUUGUUUGCCAGAUUACGAGAGAAGUCAAGCAUCUAUAAAUGCAGAGACUCAUGGAAAUGUCUUAGAGGGAGAGGCAGUGAAAGUGUCUCUGUCUGUGUCCGUUCCCUCUGCCUCUGUCCUGGAGAAUAGCCUGAGCAGAACCCCCCUGGCAGCUGGUUGAGCAACAUUGUCCAGAAGAAAUGGCACACAUGAGGAGCAGACAUAGGGGCACCAGACUAGGAAAUUUCAGGAGAUAGAGAAGAGUGAGGUUCAGUGCCUACAAGUGCCACUAUUGGAAUGAGAAACUAGAACACCCGGGAAUUCUCUAAAAUCUUGUUUUACCUAAUAUACAUGAAUGGGGGAAGUACUUCUGUGUAUGUUUAUCUUAUU
Molecule: long non-coding RNA, 1216 nt
Filed under: Cricetulus griseus (Chinese hamster)
Lineage: Eukaryota; Metazoa; Chordata; Mammalia; Rodentia; Cricetidae
Description: lncRNA (ENSCGRG00015031601.1)
Source: RNAcentral